Molecule: long non-coding RNA, 1306 nt
Filed under: Homo sapiens (human)
Lineage: Eukaryota; Metazoa; Chordata; Mammalia; Primates; Hominidae
Description: non-protein coding lnc-KHDRBS1-1:3
Source: RNAcentral
GUGACUGAAAACUCCUGAGGCAUUUCCUGGACUAGAAUGGGUAGUGAAGACCCAUGUCAGUUUUGAAGUAGUUAUUACUUAAAAGUUAUUGAUACAAUUUCUGGCAGUAGCUGUUCAAUAAUACAUAAUAGCUGAUCAGAUUAUUUUUACAUCACUGAGAGUUUGUAAGUGAUAGAGCUAGGAUUUGAUCCCAAGAAUGGCCCACCAUCAACUUCCUCGCUUCCUAGCCCUCUCUUCCCCCACCACAGUUUCCAUAGAGUCUCCAGGGUGGACACUUGGCAGUGACAGUUACUAUUGAGGGAAUACUCUGACCCUUCCUUACCUACGGAUACAGGCUUAGGGUUUGUCCCACCUUUAUACUCUCUUCCACCAAAUCCCACCUCCUGUCCCAGGCUAAGAAUGAAGUUAGAGAUGCAUUAACACCUGCUAGAACUUUGUGGCCACCAAAAAUGUGGAUUAGAGUGUGUUAGGCAACACAUGGGCUCACUGUCUUCUUGAUAUGUUCCUGUACUUUGUAUGACCCUACAGAGGCUGCUGUUUGCUGGCAGUACUACUAGUAAGUAGUCAUUUUCAUUUUUUUCCCUCAUUUUAUUCUCAGUCUAUGCCAUCCACUGAUCUAUCAGAGGACUCCUGAAACCUGGAGAGCUACCUGCUGUAUAAAGGCUGGCCUGAGGGCAUUUGCUGAACACAGAGAAACCCAGGAGAGGAGAUCAGCAGUUUUCUUUCACUCUACUUGAUCUGUCAGAUUUACCCACAGAAAGCCAGUCAGGAUCCCUUAAGAGUCUUUAGGCCCAGAAUGGAGUCCUCAGGGCUGCAGGGGACUGUGGUGCUAACAAUUAAACUGUUCAAGACUUUAAAGAGUUGAAGGGGACUAAUGGGUAUCCCUAGCAUGGCCUCCUAGAUGGGAAUUAACUGGCAACUCCUACUGUGCCAUUCCCAGUAUGUGUGCUUCCCUUUAGCCUCCCAUAGAAUUGGCUGAAACACCCUACCACCGUUUUCUGUUUCCCCACUACCACACCUGUGUUAUGGGUGUCAGCCUGUGAGUCCUUGAACCCUUCCAGAGGGCUCCCAAGGGAGGGUGAUCACUGCCCUUCCAUAAAAGGCUGAGGAAAGCCAAGUGAGAAGAUUCAAUUAAUUUGGGCAAGUUAUUUAACAUCUGAACCUGUUUUUCUCUUCAUUGUUUAUUACUUACCUUGUCCAAAAAGGUCAUAAAGGGUAGGGCUUUUUCUGUUCCACCUCUGUACUAUAUUUCUCCCCAACAAAUAUCUGCCCCUGAGGACCUCAAUAAAGGUUUGGUCAAGUGAUG